UCGCAUCUUCUCCUUCUUAAACCUUGCUGAAAUUGUUAAAUAUGUUUCCUCAUCAAUAUAAAACCCUUGUUCCUUCAUUUUCCUUAACGUAAUCCAAAAAUUCUUCAUAGAAUCCUUGUUCACCAAUAUUCGAAGCAUUAUGCUAUACAACGGCGAACUGGGUUUAAAUCCGUUUCUCUCACACGCCCAAUUAAAGAAACCCCACGCCCUAUCAGGGUUUUUAUCUAGCUUCUUCAAAGCAUAAAUAACUGUUUCAUGGGUCAAUGUGGGGUUGGAGUUUUGUAACUCGUUCUCCAACUCAGUUGACCAAUCAUUGGCCAACAAGAGUUCCAUAAGGGAGCUUGGUUUUGACGAGAAGUAAACCUUUUGAUGGCUAUUGAGAUAACAAAAAGAAUGGGACUGCUCCAUGAGAAAAUAGGAGGAAAGGGGAGAAAAGUGUGCCACCUGAGUUAAAAGCGGCCGAGUAGUGAAAAGCCGAGACGAGAGGAGAGAAUUGGAGAGUCUAAGGGAUACAAGGAUUAUCCUUGCUCGAUUCAUGGCU
Molecule: unclassified non-coding RNA, 541 nt
Filed under: Hevea brasiliensis (rubber tree)
Lineage: Eukaryota; Viridiplantae; Streptophyta; Magnoliopsida; Malpighiales; Euphorbiaceae
Source: RNAcentral